CCUACGGGCGGCAGCAGUGAGGAAUAUUGGUCAAUGGACGAGAGUCUGAACCAGCCAAGCAGCGUGAAGGAUGACUGCCCUAUGGUUUGUAAACUUCUUUUAUAUGGGAAUAAAACAGGGUAUGCAUACCCUCUUGUAUGUACCAUAUGAAUAAGGAUCGGCUAACUCCGUGCCAGCAGCCGCGGUAAUACGGAGGUUUCGAGCGUUAUCCGGAUUUAUUGGGUUUAAAGGGAGCGUAGGUGGAUUGUUAAGUCAGUUGUGAAAGUUUGCGGCUUAACCGUAAGAUUGCAGUUGAAACUGGCAGUCUUGAGUACAGUAGAGGUAGACGGAAUUCGUGGUGUAGCGGUGAAAUGCUUAGAUAUCACGAAGAACUCCGGUUGCGAAGGCAGCUCGCUGGACUGCAACUGACACUGAUGCUCGAAAGUGUGGGUAGCAAACAGGAUUAGAUACCCUGGUAGUC
Molecule: ribosomal RNA, 460 nt
Filed under: uncultured bacterium
Lineage: Bacteria
Description: partial 16S ribosomal RNA
Rfam family: Bacterial small subunit ribosomal RNA
Source: RNAcentral